This 71-nucleotide transfer RNA is filed under the name Stegodyphus mimosarum. It matches the Rfam family "tRNA". Rfam says of the family: Transfer RNA (tRNA) molecules are approximately 80 nucleotides in length. Their secondary structure includes four short double-helical elements and three loops (D, anti-codon, and T loops). Further hydrogen bonds mediate the characteristic L-shaped molecular structure. tRNAs have two regions of fundamental functional importance: the anti-codon, which is responsible for specific mRNA codon recognition, and the 3' end, to which the tRNAs corresponding amino acid is attached (by aminoacyl-tRNA synthetases). tRNAs cope with the degeneracy of the genetic code in two manners: having more than one tRNA (with a specific anti-codon) for a particular amino acid; and 'wobble' base-pairing, i.e. permitting non-standard base-pairing at the 3rd anti-codon position. The record is from Rfam by way of RNAcentral. Lineage: Eukaryota; Metazoa; Arthropoda; Arachnida; Araneae; Eresidae.
GCCUUCUUGGUGUAACGGUUGCAUACUCGACGCGUAUUCUAGAGGCCUAGGUUCGAGUCCCGGGGAAGGCA